This is a ribosomal RNA of Sinocyclocheilus grahami, 117 nucleotides long. The record is from Ensembl. Lineage: Eukaryota; Metazoa; Chordata; Actinopteri; Cypriniformes; Cyprinidae.
ACCGGCAGCCUUAUCACCCUGCAGCCCAAGACUAGUUACCCACUGAAGCUAAGCAGGGCUGAGCCUGGUCAGUACCUGGAUGGGAGACCUCCUGGGAAAACUAGGUUGCUGCUAGAA